This 479-nucleotide ribosomal RNA is filed under the name uncultured bacterium. RNAcentral's name for it is "bacterial SSU rRNA". It matches the Rfam family "Bacterial small subunit ribosomal RNA", at positions 991 to 1482 of the family's 1533-position model. The record is from RNAcentral.
ACGACAGCUGCCGAAAGGUGGCCUUCUUCGGACGUUCUUCAAGGUGCUGCAUGGUUGUCGUCAGCUCGUGCCGUGAGGUGUCGGGUUAAGUCCCAUAACGAGCGCAACCCUUAUCGUUAGUUGCCAGCGGGUCAAGCCGGGGACUCUAGCGAGACUGCCACCGUAAGGUGUGAGGAAGGUGGGGAUGACGUCAAAUCAGCACGGCCCUUAUGUCCAGGGCUACACACGUGUUACAAUGGCCGGUACAAAGGGCAGCUACCCCGUGAGGGGAUGCUAAUCUCUAAAGCCGGUCUCAGUUCGGAUCGAAGUCUGCAACCCGACUUCGUGAAGCUGGAUUCGCUAGUAAUCGCGCAUCAGCCAUGGCGCGGUGAAUACGUUCCCGGGCCUUGUACACACCGCCCGUCAAACAAUGGAAGCUGGGGGUACCUGAAGUCUGUAACCGCAAGGAGCGGCCUAGGGUAAAACUAGUAACUGGUGUU